Molecule: unclassified non-coding RNA, 310 nt
Filed under: Athalia rosae (coleseed sawfly)
Lineage: Eukaryota; Metazoa; Arthropoda; Insecta; Hymenoptera; Athaliidae
Description: misc RNA ENSAEAG00005002064.1
Source: RNAcentral
CUGAAACUAAAAAUUUUGUAAAAUAACGUUCAAUUUUGUACGAUUCUCGGGAACUUUAUACAUCAUCUUUUUCAAGUUUGACGCGUACGGUGAAUACAGACAUAUGUGUGUAUACACACAUUACACGGGCUGCCGAAACCGCGUAUCAAUUCAAGUGCGUCAAGAUCCGGACGGUUCAACGUAAACGGAUAAUUUGUUUGAGUGAAUGUUGCGGUGAUCGGAAACGACGAUUGAGCCAUCGUCAAAAAUUGUCGGUAAUCGACUCAACGAUAUACCGCAUAUAAAUUUUAUUACCGGUCUUAACACAACG